This 375-nucleotide ribosomal RNA is filed under the name uncultured bacterium. RNAcentral describes it as "bacterial SSU rRNA". It matches the Rfam family "Bacterial small subunit ribosomal RNA", at positions 28 to 404 of the family's 1533-position model. The record is from RNAcentral.
GACGAACGCUGGCGGCGUGCUUAACACAUGCAAGUCGAGCGGUAAGGCCCUUUCGGGGGUACACGAGCGGCGAACGGGUGAGUAACACGUGGGUGACCUGCCCUCAGCUCUGGGAUAAGCCUGGGAAACCGGGUCUAAUACUGGAUAUGACUCCAUGACGCAUGUUGUGGGGUGGAAAGCCUUGUGCGGCUGAGGAUGGGCCCGCGGCCUAUCAGCUUGUUGGUGGGGUGANGGCCUACCAAGGCGACGACGGGUAGCCGGCCUGAGAGGGCGACCGGCCACACUGGGACUGAGACACGGCCCAGACUCCUACGGGAGGCAGCAGUGGGGAAUCUUGCGCAAUGGGCGAAAGCCUGACGCAGCGACGCCGCGUGA